GAGGUUGUGGCUUAGUGGUAAGAGCACCUGCCUAGCAUGUGAGAGGCACUGAGUUCAAUCCUCAGCACCACA
RNAcentral lists this transfer RNA (72 nucleotides) under Marmota monax (woodchuck). RNAcentral describes it as "tRNA.Ala". The record is from RNAcentral. Lineage: Eukaryota; Metazoa; Chordata; Mammalia; Rodentia; Sciuridae.